UAAGGGGUGCGCGCGGUGGUACCCGUGGGCGGCGACCGGAGAGGUGGGCCGCAAGCGCGAUGGGACGGGGGGCGUGAUGGGACGACCGAACGACGGGGGUGUGCGAGUUUGGGAGACGAGUUGGGGCCACGAGAGAGGAGUGGAGCAGCAGCAGUGCCGCCCGUGGCACAUCUAGACCCCGAAUUAAACGACGUCUAGGGUCCUCGCUGCCCCGAAUUGGACGACGUCUGCCCCUUCUGUCCCGCCCGCGGCACUGCCUCGUGAGGGAUCUCCGCGACCACGAAUGGAGAGCACCUUCGAAAGUCCCAACCCUAGGGCCGCUCGCUGCAGUAGUCGAGGCCGUGAAUGGAGCUGAGGGUCCAAGGGCAAGGAGGAACGUUUUUCUCUCUGAACUGAUCUCAUAGUGGACAAUUAGAAAGUGGAAAAAACAGGGUAGGAGGAUCUACUCGUACCGUCUUCUUUCACUGCUCUAACGAUGAUUCUGUUCCGACAACAGUGAACUUGACAACGUCCCUAACAAUGUGAACGCGGGCACGUAUGCACGAGUACACGGAGGUACACACCGAGAGAUUAGUCUAGGUUGGUGACGGAGGGAUAUGUCGUCCCCGGUUUGAUACGCGGCGGGAUGCGUAUCAGCCUAGAGAUUAGUCUACUCGACGGAGGUGAUAAUAGACCGUUAGACCUAUCGAUUUAUACAAUAUAUCGCCGGAGAUACUAAAUCCUGCAGGAGAAAAAGCCCUUUACUAAGUUCCGUAGACUUUGUACACCUCUUUGUAUAUAUCGUAAUCUAUUAAUUAGAGUGCCAACCAGUAUAAUACUACGAGUCAUUUGAAUUUAUUCAAUAUGUCAAUUGAAAAUACAGAAACAGCACGAAGGGUCUUUUCUAUUACCAUUAGCGUUAUUAUACGGUGAUAAAUACUUCUUUUUGUGAACAUACAUGACAUAAACGUCGUGAGUCAACGUACCAAGAGAACCAAGAAAUUUUAUAUAUCCAAUUGAACUCGAUUAAAGAAUCGUACACAUACUCGUAUCAAUGCUCCGUAGGUUUCGUUCCUCUCCAAUUAAAGAAUCGUACACAUACUCGUAUCAAUGCUUACAUACCCUACUUGUCUUGUUAAAGGUUAAACUGGGCAUAAACCAGUGUGUUCCAAUCGAAAAGAUAUCGAAAAUAACUACUUAAACUUUUAAUAUACUCUUUUUAUCCGCUUACAUACGAAGAAAUUACGAAGAAAUUAGUACGUAUAACUAAUAUUGUCAGAAUACGAUAAACUUGGAAAAGUGAUACGAAACAUGUAUAUUGAAUAUGAUACGCGUUUAUAUAACAAAGGUACAUUCUUUUUUACUAUUUAUUUUUAAUUCAGUUUUUUAUGUAUGUUACGGAAGACUUAGACUCGUUAUAGGGGUGUUAAAAAAAGACAUAGUGUUUCUCUGGUGGUACUACUCAUACACAAGGUUACUCGUUCACCACGAUCGCAUUGAGUACUUAUUCCCUUGUGAUAUAGUUCCGACACUUCUUCCGAUGGUAGCUCUGUUUCUCGCUCGUGGGGUUCCCAAUUACGCACCGCAUCUUCCAAUAGUUUUCUUGAUACAGUAAAAAAAUUUAAUUAAAGGAUCUAUUCAUGUGAGCGUGUACGUAGAAACGCUGUUUUAUUUUUGACGUGAUGAGAGAGAGAGAGAGUAGAUUACAAUAGUCUUCAUGAUUAACACCUAAAGUAGCGAUAAAAGAGGUUUUUGAGAUAAAUCAUAGGGAAGGUUACAUUCAAAUAAUGAUACACUAAUCUCUUUAUUUCUCCAUAUACGCGUAUGACAUUCUAGUACUAGUCACCACAUGUCUUUAGGAUACUUCACUUUAUGUGUUGCAUAAAAUAUAUAUGACAGACACCAAUUUAAGGUUACAUACAUAUAAUUCUAUAAACAAUCUUCACAGUAAUUACGUUUGGUAACACGACAUUAUGAAGUGCGUCCUAUAGAUUUCCCUUGAGAAAAUUUAAUACCAGAAUAAGAUGUUGAUACUAAUUCCCUCAUACGUGCCCAACUACUUUUACAGCGUGUUAAUUAAGAUACAACAUAGUGGGUUACCUGUCGUCGAAGGAACUGAAAUAAAACAAGAGUAGAUCACCGUACCAUAAGACGGUACAAGGGAACAGAAAUACAUGUCAAAGCUACAGGUCACUUUUCUGGUUUAGUAAAUGAAUCAGCGAGAACCGGACAAGACGAUAGUACCAAAAUGACUACAAGUGUAAGGUUUAAUUGUUAAUCAACGAUCACCCACAACAGGAACGACUUUACGAGUGAAAUACCUAAGGUUUCGAAGAAACAAAUGUAGACUCGCAACCUCACGAAGGUUAAUUUCCUGAACAUAAUAAUACGUACCGAUUAAUUAUGUGAAGAUAUUGAUACCUUAAAACUAUAAACAACAUGAUUUUGAGGUGAUACUGUUGGCCACGUGUUGUUGUUGAAACAUUAGGUACACGUCGAAGAUCCAAGGCCGAAACAUCACACGUAGUAUAGAUCGAUUUUUUACAUUACUACACUUUGAUACAAUCUAGAACGACCACACGACGAACAGUUGGAACGAUACAACAACAGACGACUUAAGACCCACAUGUAGCUGCGUUUACUUGUACCUUUGUUGAAGUCUUGAUAAGAAGUGUAAAAAAAAUGAUUUUUAAGCUUGGUGACUUGUACUAGUGAAGGUAUAGAGACUUUACUCUUAAAUGAGUUCAAAGAUAAGACGAUCGCUAUCAAAACAACAGUACAAGUAUAUUCUUUUACGGUUUAUGUUUACCGGAAGUAAUCGUAAUGAUAUAAUCGUUGUGUUAUACAUCAUCGUUUGGGGUUGUAUUUACUAUAGAAAUCAAGGAUACUGUCUAUAUCUACCUAAUAAUCAAGUAUUUCGUUCGCUAUGUCGUUUUUUGAUUCACAAUACAUAAACACUUAGUCUUUUUCCACUUGAGAGAGAGAGAGAGAGAGAGAGAGAGAGAGAAAGAGAGAGAAAGAGAGAGAGAUCCCAGAGAACUUGUAUAAGUGAAGAAGGACGUACUAAAGAGAGGGGAAAAAUCUAAAUAAAAACACAAACGGUUGAAGCAUCAAAAUGAAUAUAAGGUCACUCGAGACAAGAUAUGACCACAUCAAUACAAACAUUACAAAAAAGAGGAACACACGACUAAAACGUUACCAUUAACCAAAGACAUGAGACGUUCGGAGUACUAUGAUUAACUUUAUAGGAAAUAGUACAACGUCUACGAAUCGUUUACGAAAGCGACGAUGGACAAGAAUUAGUCAACGAUGAAAAAGAAUUAGUAGGCUAAAGAAUGAGGAAAGUAAAUACAUCCUUAUCGUACAUCCAUCAAUAGGGGGUACCCGUGUAUCUGGUCCUAUGUAACAUAGAGUCCUAUAUCCUUUGUGUUUUCUCCACACGAUUUCUACAAGUUCGACCUCUUACAAGAGGUUACCCUACUUCUUGCUUCCGAAACUACAGUUCACGCUCUUACUACUUUGCUAGAACGACCUUUCGACACUCCUACCCAUCAUCAACGGGUGAUGUUCCUCGGUUCCGUCUACUACAAAACGUCUUUUGUUUCACUACUUGAAAACGAGAGUCUGUUACUUGAUAGUUCAAAGGAGAUAAAUUAAUCAAUGUAAUCAAAUAAAUAUCGUUUGAACCGACGAGUAACCAAGUAUUGUUUACUUGAUAAAUAUACACUUUUAAUUACUUACACAUACUGAUAACAAACCAAGACCAAAUUA
This 3750-nucleotide ribosomal RNA is filed under the name Triticum aestivum (bread wheat). RNAcentral's name for it is "partial small subunit ribosomal RNA". Lineage: Eukaryota; Viridiplantae; Streptophyta; Magnoliopsida; Poales; Poaceae. The record is from RNAcentral.